AAAGCUCGUAGUUGGAUUUCUGCGCUCGCCGAGCGGCGGUCUUUGGCCGACCACUCCGCAAGUUCAUCCUCGCCCCUCGGGGCGUCAUUUACUGUGAAAAAAUUAGAGUGUUUAAAGCAGGCUUUAGGCUUGAAUACAUUAGCAUGGAAUAAUGAGAUAGGACCAAGUCGUAUCUUGUUGGUUGCGCGAUUCGGUAAUGAUUAAUAGGGACAGUUGGGGGUAUUCAUAUUUAAUUGUCAGAGGUGAAAUUCUUAGAUUUAUUAAAGAUGAACUACUGCGAAAGCAUUUACCAAGGAUGUUUUCAUUAAUCAAGAACGAAAGUCAGGGGAUCGAAGAGGAUUAGAUACCCUCGUAGUCUUGACCAUAAACUAUGCCGACUCAGGAUUGGCACCCCUUUUUUAACAGGGUGUCAGCACUGUAUGAAAAAUCAAAGUCUUUGGGUUCCGGGGGGAGUAUGGUCGCAAGGCUGAAACUUAGAGGAAUUGACGGAAGGGCACCACCAGGAGUGGAGCCUGCGGCUUAAUUUGACUCAACACGGGGAAACUUACCAGGUCCAGACAUG
RNAcentral lists this ribosomal RNA (562 nucleotides) under uncultured marine eukaryote. RNAcentral's name for it is "SSU rRNA". It matches the Rfam family "Eukaryotic small subunit ribosomal RNA", at positions 623 to 1232 of the family's 1831-position model. The record is from RNAcentral.